GAGUUUGAUUCCUGGCUCAGAUUGAACGCUGGCGGCAUGCCUUACACAUGCAAGUCGAACGGCAGCGCGGGAGCAAUCCUGGCGGCGAGUGGCGAACGGGUGAGUAAUACAUCGGAACGUGCCCAAUCGUGGGGGAUAACGCAGCGAAAGCUGUGCUAAUACCGCAUACGAUCUACGGAUGAAAGCAGGGGAUCGCAAGACCUUGCGCGAAUGGAGCGGCCGAUGGCAGAUUAGGUAGUUGGUGAGGUAAAGGCUCACCAAGCCUUCGAUCUGUAGCUGGUCUGAGAGGACGACCAGCCACACUGGGACUGAGACACGGCCCAGACUCCUACGGGAGGCAGCAGUGGGGAAUUUUGGACAAUGGGCGCAAGCCUGAUCCAGCCAUGCCGCGUGCAGGAUGAAGGCCUUCGGGUUGUAAACUGCUUUUGUACGGAACGAAACGGCCUUUUCUAAUAAAGAGGGCUAAUGACGGUACCGUAG
Molecule: ribosomal RNA, 480 nt
Filed under: Variovorax sp. D11
Lineage: Bacteria; Pseudomonadati; Pseudomonadota; Betaproteobacteria; Burkholderiales; Comamonadaceae
Description: bacterial SSU rRNA
Rfam family: Bacterial small subunit ribosomal RNA
Source: RNAcentral